RNAcentral lists this transfer RNA (64 nucleotides) under Pseudagkistrodon rudis (Red keelback). Its description in RNAcentral is "tRNA-Arg". It matches the Rfam family "tRNA". From Rfam's summary of the family: Transfer RNA (tRNA) molecules are approximately 80 nucleotides in length. Their secondary structure includes four short double-helical elements and three loops (D, anti-codon, and T loops). Lineage: Eukaryota; Metazoa; Chordata; Lepidosauria; Squamata; Natricidae. The record is from RNAcentral.
AUUAAGGUAGUCUAAUAAGAUAUUUGAUUUCGACUCAAAAGAACUUAAUACUUAAGCCUUAGUA